UCCUAGUUAGCUCAGUUGGUAAAGCGCUCCACUUGAAAUGGAGGGUCCCUAGUUCGAUACCACGACCAGGCG
RNAcentral lists this transfer RNA (72 nucleotides) under Ixodes scapularis (black-legged tick). It matches the Rfam family "tRNA". Rfam says of the family: Transfer RNA (tRNA) molecules are approximately 80 nucleotides in length. Lineage: Eukaryota; Metazoa; Arthropoda; Arachnida; Ixodida; Ixodidae. The record is from Rfam by way of RNAcentral.